GCGAAAACUUUACAAUGCUGGCAACAGCGAUAAGGGAACCUCGAGUGCCAGGUUACAAAUCUGGCUGUCGAGAUGCCUAAAAAGCAUUUCAUAGCAAGGGCCGGGCAAGACCGGUGCCAGCCGCCGCGGUAACACCGGCGGCUCGAGUGGUAACCGUUAUUAUUGGGUCUAAAGGGUCUGUAGCCGGCCGGAUAAGUCUCUUGAGAAAUCUGGCAGCUCAACGGUCAGGCUUUCAGGAGAUACUGUCUGGCUCGAGGCCGGGAGAGGUGAGAGGUACUUCAGGGGUAGGGGUGAAAUCUUGUAAUCCUUGAAGGACCACCAGUGGCGAAGGCGUCUCACCAGAACGGACCUGACGGCAAGGGACGAAAGCUAGGGGCACGAACC
Molecule: ribosomal RNA, 384 nt
Filed under: uncultured prokaryote
Description: bacterial SSU rRNA
Rfam family: Archaeal small subunit ribosomal RNA
Source: RNAcentral